GGAUGGAAAAGAGUUUCUGUACCCCUACUUCACCUUUACGAUGCUUCCUAGUCACAGUGCAUACAGGAAAAUCCCUGCCAACUGACAACACACAGUAGCCUCCAGCAACCCAGGUCAGGCUUGAAGACAUUGAAGAAAAUGCCUUUAAAUGAUGAACUGCUUGUCUUUUCUGCCUGUUGAGACUUCACUGUUAAAGAGUUAGAUGACCAGCUCAGAUGUACACAUCUAUGCUGCUGACAUGCACAUGAGAAGCCCAUCUAUUAAGACAUCUAUAUACCUGGGUGACAUUUUCAUUCGGAGGUGUUGAAAUAAAGUUCACAGCACUGAAGCAGAGGCAUCCAGAAAAAGUGCUGAAGGGUCAUGGGGAACAAAAAUGCCUCCAGAAGGUUGGGUGGAAACAGCCAGCCAUAAAUAGCUGAAACAGUUAUGAAUUGGAGAAAAUGAAGAAA
This is a long non-coding RNA of Empidonax traillii (willow flycatcher), 449 nucleotides long. RefSeq lists it as uncharacterized. NCBI's taxonomy places the organism in Eukaryota, Metazoa, Chordata, Aves, Passeriformes, Tyrannidae. The record is from RefSeq and is a predicted model, not a curated record. The transcript has 4 exons.